RNAcentral lists this transfer RNA (68 nucleotides) under Belzebub intermedius. Its description in RNAcentral is "tRNA-Leu". Lineage: Eukaryota; Metazoa; Arthropoda; Malacostraca; Decapoda; Luciferidae. The record is from RNAcentral.
ACUAUAUUGGCAGAACUUAUGCAUUAGAUUUAGGAUCUAAUUAUGUAGUUAUUAUACUACAUAUAGUA